RNAcentral lists this long non-coding RNA (1104 nucleotides) under Gouania willdenowi (blunt-snouted clingfish). Its description in RNAcentral is "lncRNA (ENSGWIG00000005123.1)". Lineage: Eukaryota; Metazoa; Chordata; Actinopteri; Blenniiformes; Gobiesocidae. The record is from RNAcentral.
AUGGAAGUGCAAGCAGAGGCCACUCUGCAUCUGAACAGUUUCCAGGAUGAAAAGAAAGCACGAGAAAUCGUCAAAUCAUCGGGUUUAACCCUGACUGAGCUAGGCGGAGGCCGUGUGCAGGUGCGGGGUUAUUAUUCGCGGCUCAAAACUGCUAGCGCUCGUUUGAAGGAGCUUCUGGAGGCACCAACAAAGCCAACGCAGCACUUUUCUUGGUCGGAUGAAAAAGCUUCAUCGCCCUCUGAUUCCAGACGUCCAGGACCUCUUUAUCGGUCAAAGUCAUUACCGAAACAAAAGUCUCCACGUUCGCCGCUUUCACGCACUGUCUUCUCGCAAUCUUGGGAUCGUCAGACUUCUUUGCAGAACUCUUUUAGGCCGGGAAGUGAGUCUUUUCACAUUGACGCAGAUCUGUUUAAAUACGCGGACCGGCUGAAGAAUGAAGAGAUCCAAAACAUCCUGCGCACAUACAGUGUUCAGCUCUAUCCAAAGGAAUAUAGCGACAGCUUUAUCCUUACUUUAAAGGGAGCCGACUCCAAUAAAGCUGCAUUUAACUUGAAGCAAUUUUUCAUCAAUCUCAACGAUUCACUGCGCACCCAAGAUGUUCCAAUGAAGGAAAUGGGUCACGAUGGAACCGCUCUUUGGAAGCAGAUUAAAAAAAGUGGAAAUAUUUACAACUCAGUGCUGGUGUGUAAGAACAAGGACUCGCUUCACCUGGUUGGCCCUUCAGAGGAAAGCUACAUGUUAAAGCAGAAGCUGCUCAAUGGUCAGACUCCCCUCACAAAACGCGGAAGCUUCAGAUGGAAGAAGCUCACAAUACACUCAAAAAACUCCAAGCGCAAAGUCAAAGAAGGCGCGGUCGAUUACGACGACCCACCAGUUGGCGGCGCUGUUGGAGGAGAUCCGGUCAGAACACACGAUCUGUCCAGGCAACAAGGUUCAGGUGGUUUCUUUCAGUUAGGAAGCAAGCGUAAAAAAGAAAAUCCUGACAGAACGCACAGGCACCAGAAGGAGACAGAAACCCCUCCCUCAAAAUCAUCCAUCUCUAAAUUCCUCUCAUGGUUUUCGAAGAAGAGCAACAAGCCAAAGAACAAGAAGGAAGAGAAAUAG